ACUUAAAUUGAAGAGUUUGAUCAUGGCUCAGAUUGAACGCUGGCGGCAGGCCUAACACAUGCAAGUCGAGCGGUAGCACAGAGAGCUUGCUCUCGGGUGACGAGCGGCGGACGGGUGAGUAAUGUCUGGGAAACUGCCUGAUGGAGGGGGAUAACUACUGGAAACGGUAGCUAAUACCGCAUAACGUCGCAAGACCAAAGUGGGGGACCUUCGGGCCUCAUGCCAUCAGAUGUGCCCAGAUGGGAUUAGCUAGUAGGUGGGGUAAUGGCUCACCUAGGCGACGAUCCCUAGCUGGUCUGAGAGGAUGACCAGCCACACUGGAACUGAGACACGGUCCAGACUCCUACGGGAGGCAGCAGUGGGGAAUAUUGCACAAUGGGCGCAAGCCUGAUGCAGCCAUGCCGCGUGUAUGAAGAAGGCCUUCGGGUUGUAAAGUACUUUCAGCGAGGAGGAAGGCGUUAAGGUUAAUAACCUUAGCGAUUGACGUUACUCGCAGAAGAAGCACCGGCUAACUCCGUGCCAGCAGCCGCGGUAAUACGGAGGGUGCAAGCGUUAAUCGGAAUUACUGGGCGUAAAGCGCACGCAGGCGGUCUGUCAAGUCGGAUGUGAAAUCCCCGGGCUCAACCUGGGAACUGCAUUCGAAACUGGCAGGCUAGAGUCUUGUAGAGGGGGGUAGAAUUCCAGGUGUAGCGGUGAAAUGCGUAGAGAUCUGGAGGAAUACCGGUGGCGAAGGCGGCCCCCUGGACAAAGACUGACGCUCAGGUGCGAAAGCGUGGGGAGCAAACAGGAUUAGAUACCCUGGUAGUCCACGCCGUAAACGAUGUCGACUUGGAGGUUGUGCCCUUGAGGCGUGGCUUCCGGAGCUAACGCGUUAAGUCGACCGCCUGGGGAGUACGGCCGCAAGGUUAAAACUCAAAUGAAUUGACGGGGGCCCGCACAAGCGGUGGAGCAUGUGGUUUAAUUCGAUGCAACGCGAAGAACCUUACCUACUCUUGACAUCCAGAGAACUUAGCAGAGAUGCUUUGGUGCCUUCGGGAACUCUGAGACAGGUGCUGCAUGGCUGUCGUCAGCUCGUGUUGUGAAAUGUUGGGUUAAGUCCCGCAACGAGCGCAACCCUUAUCCUUUGUUGCCAGCGGUUCGGCCGGGAACUCAAAGGAGACUGCCAGUGAUAAACUGGAGGAAGGUGGGGAUGACGUCAAGUCAUCAUGGCCCUUACGAGUAGGGCUACACACGUGCUACAAUGGCAUAUACAAAGAGAAGCGACCUCGCGAGAGCAAGCGGACCUCAUAAAGUAUGUCGUAGUCCGGAUUGGAGUCUGCAACUCGACUCCAUGAAGUCGGAAUCGCUAGUAAUCGUAGAUCAGAAUGCUACGGUGAAUACGUUCCCGGGCCUUGUACACACCGCCCGUCACACCAUGGGAGUGGGUUGCAAAAGAAGUAGGUAGCUUAACCUUCGGGAGGGCGCUUACCACUUUGUGAUUCAUGACUGGGGUGAAGUCGUAACAAGGUAACCGUAGGGGAACCUGCGGUUGGAUCACCUCCUUACCU
Molecule: ribosomal RNA, 1547 nt
Filed under: Klebsiella aerogenes
Lineage: Bacteria; Pseudomonadati; Pseudomonadota; Gammaproteobacteria; Enterobacterales; Enterobacteriaceae
Description: bacterial SSU rRNA
Rfam family: Bacterial small subunit ribosomal RNA
Source: RNAcentral